RNAcentral lists this long non-coding RNA (235 nucleotides) under Physcomitrium patens. RNAcentral describes it as "long non-coding RNA (PPAT_LNC008801)". Lineage: Eukaryota; Viridiplantae; Streptophyta; Bryopsida; Funariales; Funariaceae. The record is from RNAcentral.
AAAUAAUCAAACUCCAAUAACUCCUAUCUCAAGCUUUCAUUCUGGCUUCAUCAAAUAUAUCAUAUUACGUGAAGUCUUGCUUGAGAAUACACUGAGCACUUAGUAGUGGAAGGUAAAAGAAAUUUGCAACAACAAGUCUUAACAACUCUAAUAGAAUCAUAUGUAAAUUAUAAUUAAAGCUUAAGAAAUAUAAUCAAAUAUUGAUCAAGCUCAAUUAAAUUUUUAAAUAAAUUAU